RNAcentral lists this ribosomal RNA (301 nucleotides) under uncultured bacterium. RNAcentral describes it as "partial 16S ribosomal RNA". It matches the Rfam family "Bacterial small subunit ribosomal RNA", at positions 509 to 807 of the family's 1533-position model. The record is from RNAcentral.
CAGUAGCCGCGGGAAUGCGUAGGUGGCAAGCGUUGUCCGGAAUUAUUGGGCGUAAAGGGCUCGCAGGCGGUUUCUUAAGUCUGACGUGAAAGCCCCCGGCUCAACCGGGGAGGGUCAUUGGAAACUGGGAAACUUGAGUGCAGAAGAGGAGAGUGAAAUUCCACGUGUAGCGGUGAAAUGCGUAGAGAUGUGGAGGAACACCAGUGGCGAAGGCGACUCUCUGGUCUGUAACUGACGCUGAGGAGCGAAAGCGUGGGGAGCGAACAGGAUUAGAUACCCCUGUAGUCCCUGUCUCUUAUAC